UACGAAGGGGCUAGCGUUGUUCGGAUUUACUGGGCGUAAAGCGCACGUAGGCGGAUCGUUAAGUCGGGGGUGAAAUCCUGGAGCUCAACUCCAGAACUGCCUUCGAUACUGGCGAUCUUGAGUCCGGAAGAGGUGAGUGGAACUCCUAGUGUAGAGGUGGAAUUCGUAGAUAUUAGGAAGAACACCAGUGGCGAAGGCGGCUCACUGGUCCGGUACUGACGCUGAGGUGCGAAAGCGUGGGGAGCAAACAGGG
This 253-nucleotide ribosomal RNA is filed under the name uncultured bacterium. Its description in RNAcentral is "partial 16S ribosomal RNA". It matches the Rfam family "Bacterial small subunit ribosomal RNA", at positions 524 to 777 of the family's 1533-position model. The record is from RNAcentral.